CCUAAAUAUCGAUAACCACUGAAUAUACUCACCUCUCUUGAAGUAUUUUAGGGUUCAGCACUAAAUGAAGGAAAUGAAGGAGUAAACUUACAGUUUGAGGCGCAGAACUGGAUAAAAUAACUUUCAACUGCUGCAAGAUAAAUUCAUACAUUUUAAAGUUACAGGUAAUAUAAGAAGAGAAAAUUGUGAGCAGACUAGAAGAUAAUGCGUUAGACAGAGUAACCAUAUAGACUGUCACAUAUAGUAACCUAAACACCGGGGAGUGACUGGAUUCCUGUCUCGUGAGCUCUUCUGCCUAUAAAAUCUCUUUGGCUUUGUGCCCGGCCCUUGGCUAAUCGGAUACCGCCAGGACUUAUUGCCUGAGAAUCCAACAACUGCCACCGGGGCCACAAGAGAGUCCUAACAAAUAAUCAGGGAAUGGAGCCCAAACACAAGGGCUGGACUUAGACUGGCCCGGGUCACAAACAGAUAACAGGAUCAGAAUUGUGAGGCAACUGAAGGAACAAGCCGGGGUUUAAACCAGGAAUGUCCCAGGGGACAAGAACAGGAGCCAAAGGAACCCCAGUUAGAGGAACAGAGCACCUGGGACUAAGUACACUUGACUUAUAACAGGCAGUGAGUCGGUGCAGUGCAGGGAGUUAUAGAGCCAAUCUAAUGGCUAAUACUGAGCACCUGUGGCCACAUAGAACACCAGGUUCCCUGUUCAACUCCCCGCAGGAUGCCCCCCAGACACAAGGGGGUAAUUACAGAAGAAGCCGACCCCUCAGCUGCAGGAGAACCAGCGACCCCUCCCCAGUGAGGAACCAACAAAACAUUCUCCUGGAAGGAUUUGGACUUGUGUUUUAGCCGACUCCAAUUGGGAGAGAUUUUCCUGGGUCUCCUACAACAGAGCCGUGGAGUUGGCAGUGGAUGGAGCACGUGGUUGUGUGUGAAUGGCAGCUUGACUCUGUGUGUGCCAGUUGAAUAAGGUUCUUCCAUCCAAAAUGGCAGCUUCCUUCUGUGCAAUCAUUGAUCAAUAUUUGUCUGGUGUUGGCAUCCAGGGAGAUGGGCCUCACACUUAACCUUGUAUAUGCUGGACACGGGAACGUUCAGGUCUCUGCACAAGGACCUGUAGCUUUGAGAUGCUCCUCAUUCAUUACAUACACUUUCUCCCACACAAAGCUGCAGGAAUGGGGCACAAUUUUACCAUAUUAUCCAGAUCCAGACCAGCCUCUAUGGAGGCCCCAUUAAACCACAUCUCAGUUUUAUUAACUCCGCAGUGACAAUUCUCUCUGCUCAUGGCUCUCCAUAGCCUGUAAGGGAGCAAUCAUUUCCAGGUUAUAAAAAUUCCCAACUGUGUCACGUAGAGCUGGGCUUUUCCCAACUGUUGUGCCUCCUGGAGAAACCCAAGCUGAAGGCUGGAGAAGCCUCUUGUUUUCUCUAACAAAUGGGCAGUGUUAGUGAGCAGCUCAGAGACUCCAUGGUUGGCAGUGUUUGCCUCUUCCUCUAUGUGUUUGCUAUGGAGUGUCGGGUCAAUACCAUAUAAAUAAGGGAGAGGGAGUUGUUGAUGUGACGUGGUGGCCUAGUGGAUAAUGCAUUUGGCAUAGAUUGUUGUGAUCUUGAGUUUGAAUUCAGCCUUAGUUGUGUUUGAAAUAUGUUGUUUGUCUUUAAAGUGCUGAAUAAACAUGUUGAUGAUGUUGAUACAAAAGACAAUGCUCAUCUGUUGGGUGGCACAGUGACUCCUGUGGAGCAGAAAAUGUGGGACCGGCCUGAGGAAUUGGGUUUUUAUCCAGGUGUAGCAGUGAGUGAGAAGUGUCUUUUCCCUUUAAAGUGCUGAACAAACAGGAUAAUCCAUGAUAAAUUUACCAAAAACAAUGUUGUAUCUUGUGUGGCAAGGUGGCUCAUGGUGUAGCAGUCCUGUGUAGUAGAGUCUGUGGGUCGGAAUUUGAAUCCUUUGGCAGGGGACUAGGGUUCGAAUCCAGUAGUGAUUCUCUUUAAAUUGCUGAACAAACAGGAUAAUCAAUGAUAAAUUUACCAAAAACACAAUGGAAUCUUGUGCGGACAGGUGGCUCGUGGAGUAGCACUGCUGGGUAGCAGAACCUGUCGGCCUGAGUUCAAAUCCCAUCUGUGACUGUGCGGAUCGCAGGCAGGUGGGAGAGGGCGUGAGUUCAAAUCCCGUCUGUGACUGUGUGGGGCGCAGCCAGAUGGGUGAAGUAGGCCGGAGCAAACAUGGUUGGGGGCUGUGGGCCACUCCACAAGUGAAAAAGCAGGGGUUAUAGAAAAAGUUGUUGUGAAAAUUACAAUUU
Molecule: long non-coding RNA, 2285 nt
Organism: Xenopus laevis (African clawed frog)
Lineage: Eukaryota; Metazoa; Chordata; Amphibia; Anura; Pipidae
Exons: 3
Source: RefSeq, a predicted model, not a curated record